UGCGGAGGGAUCAUUACCGAGUUUACAACUCCCAAACCCAAUGUGAACGUUACCAAACUGUUGCCUCGGCGGGGUCACGCCCCGGGUGCGUCGCAGCCCCGGAACCAGGCGCCCGCCGGAGGAACCAACCAAACUCUUUCUGUAGUCCCCUCGCGGACGUAUUUCUUACAGCUCUGAGCAAAAAUUCAAAAUGAAUCAAAACUUUCAACAACGGAUCUCUUGGUUCUGGCAUCGAUGAAGAACGCAGCGAAAUGCGAUAAGUAAUGUGAAUUGCAGAAUUCAGUGAAUCAUCGAAUCUUUGAACGCACAUUGCGCCCGCCAGUAUUCUGGCGGGCAUGCCUGUCCGAGCGUCAUUUCAACCCUCGAACCCCUCCGGGGGAUCGGCGUUGGGGAUCGGGACCCCUCACACGGGUGCCGGCCCCGAAAUACAGUGGCGGUCUCGCCGCAGCCUCUCCUGCGCAGUAGUUUGCACAACUCGCACCGGGAGCGCGGCGCGUCCACGUCCGUAAAACACCCAACUUUCUGAAAUGUUGACCUCGGAUCAGGUAGGAAUACCCGCUGAACUUAAGCAUAUC
RNAcentral lists this ribosomal RNA (575 nucleotides) under Trichoderma asperellum. RNAcentral describes it as "eukaryotic LSU rRNA". The stretch from base 200 to 353 matches the Rfam family "5.8S ribosomal RNA". Lineage: Eukaryota; Fungi; Ascomycota; Sordariomycetes; Hypocreales; Hypocreaceae. The record is from RNAcentral.